RNAcentral lists this ribosomal RNA (247 nucleotides) under uncultured bacterium. RNAcentral describes it as "partial 16S ribosomal RNA". It matches the Rfam family "Bacterial small subunit ribosomal RNA", at positions 333 to 577 of the family's 1533-position model. The record is from RNAcentral.
CUUUCCCUACGGGACGCAGCAGUGAGGAAUAUUGGUCAAUGGGCGAGAGCCUGGACCAGCCAAGUCGCGUGAGGGAAGACGGCCCUACGGGUUGUAAACCUCUUUUGUCAGGGAGCAAGAACGGAUACGUGUAUCCGAGCGAGAGUACAGGAAGAAAAAGCAUCGGCUAACUCCGUGCCAGCAGCAGCGGUAAUACGGAGGAUGCGAGCGUUAUCCGGAUUUAUUGGGGUUAAAGGGUGCGUAGGCG